AGGGCACCACCAGGAGUGGAGCCUGCGGCUUAGUUUGACUCAACACGGGAAAACUCACCCGGCCCGGACACCGUAAGGAUUGACAGAUUGAGAGCUCUUUCUUGAUUCGGUGGUUGGUGGUGCAUGGCCGUUCUUAGUUGGUGGAGCGAUUUGUCUGGUUUAUUCCGAUAACGAGCGAGACUCUAGCCUACUAAAUAGUGACCGGAUAGCUUGGUCCGGGUCACUUCUUAGAGGGACAAGCGGUGUUCAGCCGCAAUAAGUUGAGCAAUAACAGGUCUGUGAUGCCCUUAGAUGUCCGGGGCUGCACGUGCGCUACACUGGAGGAAUCAGCGUGCUUGACCCAUUGCCGAAAGGCAUUGGUAAACCCUUGAAAAUCCUCCGUGAUCGGGAUCGGGAAUUGCAAUUAUUUCCCUUGAACGAGGAAUUCCCAGUAAGUGUGAGUCAUCAGCUCACGUUGAUUACGUCCCUGCCCUUUGUACACACCGCCCGUCGCUGCCCGGGACUGAGCCGUUUCGAGAA
RNAcentral lists this ribosomal RNA (519 nucleotides) under uncultured eukaryote. Its description in RNAcentral is "SSU rRNA". It matches the Rfam family "Eukaryotic small subunit ribosomal RNA", at positions 1161 to 1705 of the family's 1831-position model. The record is from RNAcentral.